RNAcentral lists this transfer RNA (69 nucleotides) under Marmota monax (woodchuck). Its description in RNAcentral is "tRNA.Ala". It matches the Rfam family "tRNA", at positions 5 to 66 of the family's 71-position model. Rfam says of the family: Transfer RNA (tRNA) molecules are approximately 80 nucleotides in length. Their secondary structure includes four short double-helical elements and three loops (D, anti-codon, and T loops). Further hydrogen bonds mediate the characteristic L-shaped molecular structure. tRNAs have two regions of fundamental functional importance: the anti-codon, which is responsible for specific mRNA codon recognition, and the 3' end, to which the tRNAs corresponding amino acid is attached (by aminoacyl-tRNA synthetases). tRNAs cope with the degeneracy of the genetic code in two manners: having more than one tRNA (with a specific anti-codon) for a particular amino acid; and 'wobble' base-pairing, i.e. permitting non-standard base-pairing at the 3rd anti-codon position. The record is from RNAcentral. Lineage: Eukaryota; Metazoa; Chordata; Mammalia; Rodentia; Sciuridae.
GUGUGUAGCUCAGUGGCAGAGUGCUUGCCUAGCAUGUGCAGGGCCCUGGGUUCAAUCCCCAGCACUACA